UAAUAUCAUUAACUCUCAGAUCUUACAUUACACAUCGCACAGUAAAUCUCUUAUAUGAUGUGUUGCUUAAAUCACAGAAUGGCUUCAAACUGUUUAAGAAGCAGCAGCAGAGUUCUGAAAGCUGACUGGCUGGAGGCAAGCAGAAGGCUGGUAGAAAUGCAGAGAAAGUCUUUGAGGGAAUAAAAUAAAAUAAUGGACACUGCUGGAGAUGCUAUUGCAGAGUUCAAGCUACAGAGAUAGACUUGAGUUGAGCUAUCAGGAAUAAAGAAGAAAUGUGUUCAAUCAUGGAGCCUGCCGAGGUGAAGAACAGAAUGGACUCCAGACAGAUAAAUGGACAGUAGGUCCAGACAACAGACAAACAGCAGGUACAUAGCACUGCAGAAGAGAUGGAACAAAACCCAAGAAAUGUGCACUCAGUGCUAUAUUGUAAGACAGAAUCCAGAGAAAGAAAUCUCUCUCUGGGAGGUAUUAAAACAGUCCUGGAAAUCCCACCAGCUUUCUGUGCUUAAAAUGCUUAAUAAGCAUCCCUCCACUGAAGGCUCAGAGAGGCAGAAAGAUUGUAAGAGCCAGAAUGGGUAGAUGACUCCAGGGAAACAGUAUGUUCCAGACACAAGACUGAUAUACAUAUUUACCUACAGACACUGUGACAGCAUGCCCAAGGCCUACAGACAAGCUCAAACAAGACAAAACCCCAGCAUGAAAAAGAGGAGGUUGGCAUGAAAUCCCACUCUUAGUUAAUCUAUUUUCAAUUGAUAGCUGCUGGGAAAGGGAAAUCCCAGUUUUUUCCAAUGGAGUGGCACCGGAUAUCUUUUCUUUUCUGUGUUGUUUUUAUUUUUGUUUUGAAUUAUUUUUUUAAAGAAAGAGGAGAAAACGUGAAGUUUGGCGGGUAAUGUGGUGAAGGAGAAUCUGGGAGGAGUUGAGGUAGUGGAAACAAUAUGAUGAAAAUGUAUUGUUUGAAGUUCUCAAAUGAAUAAAAGCAUAAAGAAAUCAAUAAAUUUCGGUUUGGAGUUAGAAAAGAAUUUCCAACAAUUUUGAAAUGACUCUAAGAAUGACAAUUUCAAAAUCAAAAUAUCCAUCAAGUCUGAGAAACUUGUCCCUGGGACAAACCCAGCAGGAGUGAGCUGCGCCCUGUCCCCUGUGCAUUCCAUUUUCUAGCCCACCGCUCUACCUGCAUUCCCAGAGGUCUACUGGCUACCAGGGACAACCAGAUGAGAACCCUCCCCACCACCCCCUCCAUGCCAAGUCCCCCUAAAACACACUCAACAGUAGAAAUCUGUACCUGCAAUUCUGAACUCCAUUUCCUUGCCAACAACUCUGCCUACAUUCCUGGAGGCCUACCAGCACCAGGAACAACCGGAUCGCUAAAGACCAGCAUAAAUAUACAAUCAACAAGAGCCAAGAAAAUAUGUUAUCACUAGAGCCCAGCUAUCCUACUAAAACAAGCCCUGGAUAUCCAAGCACAGCUGAAGCACAGGAAAGUGAUCCUAAAUACAAUCUUAUGGAGAUGAUACAGAUGUUUAAGGAAGAAAUGAAUAAAUCUCUUAAAGAAAUACAGAAAAAUAUAAUCAAACAGGUGAAGAAAAUGAAUAAAAAUGUUUCAAGACCUGAAAAUGCAAAUAGAAGUCAUAAAGAAAUUGCAAAUUGAGGGAAUUAUGGACAUGGAAAACCUAGAUAAGAGAACAGAAACUACUGACAUAAGCAUCACCAACUAAAUACAAGAGGUGGAAGAGAGACUCACAGGCUUAAAUAAUUCAAAGAAAAUAUUAAAUCUAAAAAGUUUCUGAUGCAAACCAUCCAGAAAAUUCGGGACACUAUGAAAAUAUGAAAUCUAAGAAUUAUAGAAUUAAAAGAAGACGAUUCCCAGAUCAGAGGCCCAGAAAAUAUUUUUUAACAAAAUCAUAGAAGAAAAUUUCCUGAACCUAAAGAGAUGCCAAAAAUACACAAGAAGUUUACAGAACAAUAUUGGAGCAAAAAAAAAUCUUCCUGGUAUGUAAUAACUAACUAAAACACUGAAUGUACAGAACAAAGAAAGAAUAUUAAAAGCAGCAAGAAAAAAAAAAAAAGGCCAAGUAACAUGUAAAGGCAGACCUGGGAGAAUUAUACCUCACAUUUCAAAAGAGACUCUAAAAGCCAGAAGGGGCUGGGCAGAUACACUGCAGACUCUAACAGACCACAUAUGUCAGUCCAAACCCAGCAAAAUUUUAACCUCCAUAGAUGGAGAAAAACAAGAUAUUCCAUGACAAAAAAAAAAAAAAAAAAAAAAAAAAAAAAAAAAAUUAAACAAUAUCUAUCCACCAAUCCUGCUGUAGAAUUAAUAUUAGUCUCGAAGGUGUUUCUCUAUCCCAGCUAGUUCCCAAAUAAUGGAGACCUUUUCUUUUUUUCUUUUUUUUAACAAAGGCUUUAAGGCGCUGCUAUAACUGGACAAGUAUCAACUCUCUAAGCUGUUUUGCUCUUUCCCAGUUACACACCCAAGCUACUAGCUGGACUGCUUCCGGUGCCUGAGCUGCUUCUGUUCCAUGAGGCCAGCCCUCAUGGCCUGGUGCUCAUAGUCCUUUCUGCUCCACUUCUUCUCUUGCCUCUACAUCUUCUGCUUCCUCUCUUCUGCCACAUCUUCUCUCUCCACCUCAUGGUCCUCAUCUUACUCACAGCCUGGGAAACUAAGCUCUGACUACUUCUCUCCUUCCCAGUUAGAGGUUUCAGCAACUGUAUUAACCAGUUAGAGAAUAUUGGAAAGCAAAGUUACACAAAGUCACACACACAACAUCAUUUGGUAUGUGUGAAAAUGCACUCAUCUAGGGAGCCAGAUCUUGGGGACUAGUAAUUAGUGUUAGAAUACAUAGCAGCAGACUAACCCCCAAUAAUAUCUUUCAAUAAAUCCAGCCCUAAAGAAGAUAGUAGAAGGAAAACUCCAACCCAAGGAUUUUUAACAAAACCCAAGAAAAUACCCGGGAUAUCUGCUCGGAUAUCCCGUGGUAGCCCAGUAACCAAUUGGUUUCCCAUAGUAAGUGGAAUAGGGACUAUUUCUAACAGGAACUCAAUGGCUGGCUCUUUGACCUCCCCACCCCCCAAGGGAGAAGCAGUCCUGCUAGGCCACAAAGGAGGACUUUGCAGCCAGUCCUGAAGAUACCUGAUGAAACAGGGUCAGAUGAAAGGGGAGGAGGUCCUCCCCCAUCAGUGGACUUGGAAAGGGGCAGGGAAGAGAUGAGGAAGGGAGGGUGGGAUUGGGAAGGAAUGAGGGAGCGGGAUACAGCUGGGAUACAGAGUUAAAAAAAUGUAACUAAUAAGAAAAAUUUUUAAAAAAUAGUGAAAAAAAAUAAUUACUAAAAAAAAAAAAAAAUCCCACACCAGCAAAACCAAACUCUCCGUCUCUGUCUCUGUGUCUGUUCCUCUCUCUGUGUUUCUCCCACCACCAACAUUAAAAUAACAGAAAUUAGCAAUCACUGGUCAUUAAUUCCUCUCAACAUCGAUGGACUCAAUUCUCUAAUAAAAAGAUCAACAGAAUGGAUGGAUACAAAAAGAGAAUCCAUCAUCUUGCUGCAAACAAGAAACAUACCUCAGCAAGUAAGAUAAACAUUCCUCAGAGUAAAGGGCUAGAAAAAGGUUUUCCAAGCAAAUUAACCCAAACAGCAAGCUGGGGCAGUUAUUCUAAUAUCUAAUAAAAAUAGACUUUCAACCAAAAUUAAUCAAAAGAGAUGAGAAAGUACACUUCAUACUCAUCAAAGGAAAAGUCCACCAAAAUGACAUCUCAAUUCUGAACAUCUAUGCCUCAAAUGCAAGGGUACCCACAUUUGUAAAAGAAACACUACUAAUCACACAAUGAACCCUACACAUCAUUAGUGAAAGACUUGAGCACCUCACUCUCACCAAUGGUCAGGACAUCAAGACAGAAACUAAACAGAGAAAUAAUAAAAUAACCAGUUGUAUGCAACAAAUGGAACUAACAUAUCUAUAAAACAUUUCACCCAAACACAAAAGAAUAUACCUUCUUCUCAACACCUCCUGAAAACUUCUCCAAAACUGACAAUGUAAUACAAGCCACAACAGAAUAAGAAAACUGAAAUAACUUUUUGUCUCUGAUCAGACCACCAUGGAUUAAAGCUUGACUUCAACAACAGAAAGUCAUGGAAACUCAUGGAAACUGACAACUCUCUACUCAAUGAACA
Long non-coding RNA from Meriones unguiculatus (Mongolian gerbil), 4163 nucleotides. RefSeq lists it as uncharacterized. NCBI's taxonomy places the organism in Eukaryota, Metazoa, Chordata, Mammalia, Rodentia, Muridae. The transcript is spliced from 3 exons. The record is from RefSeq and is a predicted model, not a curated record.